RNAcentral lists this ribosomal RNA (503 nucleotides) under uncultured bacterium. Its description in RNAcentral is "partial 16S ribosomal RNA". It matches the Rfam family "Bacterial small subunit ribosomal RNA", at positions 30 to 523 of the family's 1533-position model. The record is from RNAcentral.
ACUGAACGCUGGCGGCAGGCUUAACACAUGCAAGUCGAGCGGGGUGAUGGUGCUUGCACUAUCACUUAGCGGCGGACGGUUGAGUAAUGCUUAGGAACCUGCCUAUUAGUGGGGGACAACAUCUCGAAAGGGAUGCUAAUACCGCAUACGUCCUACGGGAGAAAGCAGGGGAUCACUUGUGACCUUGCGCUAAUAGAUGAGCCUAAGUCGGAUUAGCUAGUUGGUGGGGUAAAGGCCUACCAAGGCGACGAUCUGUAGCGGGUCUGAGAGGAUGAUCCGCCACACUGGGACUGAGACACGGCCCAGACUCCUACGGGAGGCAGCAGUGGGGAAUAUUGGACAAUGGGGGGAACCCUGAUCCAGCCAUGCCGCGUGUGUGAAGAAGGCCUUAUGGUUGUAAAGCACUUUAAGCGAGGAGGAGGCUCUUUUGGUUAAUACCCAAGAUGAGUGGACGUUACUCGCAGAAUAAGCACCGGCUAACUCUGUGCCAGCCGCCGCCGUAA